GGGYYUUCSKKAGUUGUAGACUUCGGUCUGCUACCUCUUACCCAUGUCUUUUGAGUACCUUCGUUUCCUCGGCGGGUCCGCCCGCCGAUUGGACAACAUUCAAACCCUUUGCAGUUGCAAUCAGCGUCUGAAAAAACAUAAUAGUUACAACUUUCAACAACGGAUCUCUUGGUUCUGGCAUCGAUGAAGAACGCAGCGAAAUGCGAUAAGUAGUGUGAAUUGCAGAAUUCAGUGAAUCAUCGAAUCUUUGAACGCACAUUGCGCCCCUUGGUAUUCCAUGGGGCAUGCCUGUUCGAGCGUCAUUUGUACCUUCAAGCUCUGCUUGGUGUUGGGUGUUUGUCUCGCCUCUGCGUGUAGACUCGCCUUAAAACAAUUGGCAGCCGGCGUAUUGAUUUCGGAGCGCAGUACAUCUCGCGCUUUGCACUCAUAACGACGACGUCCAAAAGUACAUUUUUACACUCUUGACCUCGGAUCAGGUAGGGAUACCCGCUGAACUUAAGCAUAUCAAUAAGCGGAGGAA
Molecule: ribosomal RNA, 520 nt
Filed under: Epicoccum nigrum
Lineage: Eukaryota; Fungi; Ascomycota; Dothideomycetes; Pleosporales; Didymellaceae
Description: eukaryotic LSU rRNA
Source: RNAcentral